UCGCACAAAUCGAGAAGUAGUAAUUUUUCCUUUUAACAAAAGAGUUGGUCUACAUUCUAUCACUCAUCUUUCUUCCCUUUUCCAUAAUCUACAGAUAAUAUGUACAGUAACACUGAGAUUGUACCUAGAACAAAGAAGGAAAAAUCUUGUUAAAAUUCACAAUUCGGCUUUCAAGUAACAUCAAUGGGUUCACUUACUACAAAUACUACUAUUGCCACUGCCUGUAGGAAAUUUGGUGAUCCAAACUGUUCACCAAGGUCCCCUAUAUUGUGCUCUGGGUUUAAAAACAAUGUAAGAGCAUUUGCAAGUCAAAAGUCGGUUAAGAAAUCAAGAAAAAAAGGGAAAACAGAGAAAACGGAUGCUGCAAUACCCGAUAAGUAUCUGUUAAGUGAUGAUGUUAAUCCAGAUUAUGUUGAAGAUAGAAAGAAUACAUCUCCUCUUGACACUUCAAAUGCUGAGACUUCUGUGCUGAUGAUCCCAUCUAGAGGUUCUGUGCUUCAGGCAUGCGUAAUCACUUCUGGUUUAAUCGGUCUUGUAGGUGUUGUAAUUAGAGAGGUUUCUCAUGUUGCAUCAGCAGGAGGAUUGCCAAUUGUUGACUGCUCUGUUGAAAUACCAUUGACUUUCCAGAUGUGCCAUCUUCAGUUGAUUACGGGAUUGGUCACAUUGGUAUCCUCUUGUCGGUACUUACUGCUGAAGAUAUGGCCAGAUUUUGCCGAGUCUAGUGAAGCAGCAAAUAGCCAGGUCUUGAGUUCACUUGAGCCUUUGGAUUACAUAGUGGUGUCACUUCUUCCAGGCAUUAGUGAGGAGAUUCUUUUCCGUGGUGCAUUGCUACCAGUUUUUGGCAUCAAUUGGCAGAGUGUUGUGGCAGUUGCUUCCAUAUUUGGGAUAUUACACUUGGGCAGUGGUCGGAAAUACUCCUUUGCUGUCUGGGCCACAUUUGUUGGAAUUGCAUAUGGUUAUGCUACAAUUUUAUCAUCAACUGUUGUUGUGCCAAUGGCUGCUCAUGCUGUAAAUAACCUAGUAGGAGGCAUCAUCUGGCGCUACACAUCAAAUUCGUCAAAAUAGAUGGAUUCCGGAAACCAUGAUGAAGUUUCUCACAAUCGCCUCGGUUCUUUUUCUGUUAGCCUUCAUAACUUGUGUGGAGGUUGAUGCUAUAGCAAAUGGCCAACCACCACUUGUCGUCAGUCGUCUGCAGCAUGGACGGGCGUUAGAUAUUAUUGUUUACCCAUGCGUCACGACCAUUUGCGCAAAAGCCUGCUGUGACUGCAACAUAGAGGUGAUUCCCCCAGUGUGCACCCAGUGCUGUUCCGAAGACUGAUGAAUUUGCAAGUAAAAAAGAGUCAUUUUGGAAUUCUUUUGAUAUACCCCUUUUUACUUUUUAGAAUGGAAUAUGCUUACAAGAUCUGUCAAAGAUCUUUUCUUCAUUACUAAUAUAUAUGUCAUUUCUGAGUUAUUAUUGUUGAAGAACAUUGCAAAUUAUUACUUAUUCAGAACAAAAAAAUAUUUCUGCAGUAUUAUGAGCUCCAAUCUGGCAUUAACCUUUUCAA
This is an RNA transcript of Lycium ferocissimum, 1547 nucleotides long. RefSeq lists it as uncharacterized. The record is from RefSeq and is a predicted model, not a curated record. Lineage: Eukaryota; Viridiplantae; Streptophyta; Magnoliopsida; Solanales; Solanaceae. The transcript is spliced from 10 exons.